Molecule: unclassified non-coding RNA, 238 nt
Filed under: uncultured fungus
Lineage: Eukaryota; Fungi
Description: sequence contains ITS1, 5.8S rRNA gene
Rfam family: 5.8S ribosomal RNA (bases 190-238)
Source: RNAcentral
UUUCCGUAGGUGAACCUGCGGAAGGAUCAUUAGUGAAUCUUGGGCGUCUCUUCCACAGAGAGCCCGUCUUCCACUUUUAACCCUGUGCACUUGUCGUCGGUUCCGCCUUUCCGGGCGUGAGCUGAUCAGUUUUUUCACACCUUUUUUAAACGCAAGUUUGAAGAAUGUAACAAACACAUAACAAAAUAAAACUUUCAACAACGGAUCUCUUGGCUCUCACAUCGAUGAAGAACGCAGC